CUCCUGAUGGUGUAGUUGGUUCAUCACGUUCGGCUGUAAUGUGCAAUUGUUACCGAAAGGUCCCUAGUUCGAUUCUGGGUCAGGAGA
Molecule: non-coding RNA, 87 nt
Organism: Cladophialophora bantiana CBS 173.52
Lineage: Eukaryota; Fungi; Ascomycota; Eurotiomycetes; Chaetothyriales; Herpotrichiellaceae
Source: the annotation of a RefSeq genome assembly